UACGGGGGGGGCAAGCGUUGUUCGGAAUUACUGGGCGUAAAGGGCUCGUAGGUGGCCAACUCAGUCGGACGUGAAAUCCCUCGGCUUAACCGGGGAACUGCGUCUGAUACUGGAUGGCUUGAGUUCGGGAGAGGGAUGCGGAAUUCCAGGUGUAGCGGUGAAAUGCGUAGAUAUCUGGAGGAACACCGGUGGCGAAGGCGGCAUCCUGGACCGACACUGACACUGAGGAGCGAAAGCCAGGGGAGCAAACGGG
This 253-nucleotide ribosomal RNA is filed under the name uncultured bacterium. RNAcentral's name for it is "partial 16S ribosomal RNA". It matches the Rfam family "Bacterial small subunit ribosomal RNA", at positions 524 to 776 of the family's 1533-position model. The record is from RNAcentral.